Molecule: long non-coding RNA, 2192 nt
Organism: Taeniopygia guttata (zebra finch)
Lineage: Eukaryota; Metazoa; Chordata; Aves; Passeriformes; Estrildidae
Source: Ensembl
ACAGGUUUGCUGACUGACUACAAGAGAAUUUGCUGUGCACACAAAAGGUAAGCAGAGAAGAGCCACAAAAUCACACUGGAAGAGAUCUGUGAUAAUUUCAGGACAGCUUUGCUUCACAGCCCACAUCCUGACAAGACAGCUCUUCUGCUCUCUGUCCAGACCACAGCAGUGCAGUGCCGGUGAGGAGAUUUCUGCCUGGUCACUGCCUGCAGUAUCAGCUGCAAGACAUGCCAGGGACACUCACAGCAUCCCUCCUCAGUUAUACAUGAUAAUACACUCUGUUGGCUCGUGGGGUAGGACACAGAAUGAUGUGUUCAUCUGUUCACAAACUGCAACACCAUGCUGAGUGAAGGUGUCAGAAGAAAGACAGAAAAAGCAGGAAGAAGACCCCUUAGAGAAUGAGAUAUAAAGUAAAGAUACUUGAGCAUCUGCCCUCUGGAAAGAGGUCUCUUAGCUGGUUCAUUUCUGCAUUAGUAGAGCAGUGUCCAGGACAUAGUAUGCCAACAGAAGCUUCAAAAAUGGUAAGAGAACAAAAAAGAUUAUCACAUAUAGCUUGUAACAAGUCUGAUCUACUUUGUCUAUUUUAUUGCUGUAUGCCUUUUAUUUGGGGAACUUAUUUGUUGUUUUUUGGGGGGAUUUGGGUUUUUUAAUUUUUUUUUUUCAUUCAGUCUUCUAUUACCUUAUCCAUUGGGGGGGGGGGGUUGGGGGGUUGGUGAGAAACUCAAAGUUGAUAAAAUCUAAUUGAAUCCUAUGUCUCAAAUCAAAGUAUGGGAUCAAAUUUUACCAAGCCCUACAAAAAAUUACACUUUAUUGCAGGAAAAAAAAAGACCCAAACCAAAAAAGAUAACUUUCUAAUGGUAUUUGUUGUUUCAGUUUUAAAGGGGGAAAAUAAAAACCAAGGAAGCAAUUUUUCUGGGGACACACAAAGCUGAUUUCUAUCCCUAAGUUGUGGAAAUGUCUGUUCUAACACUUCAAUUUCAUGGUACUUAAACCAGAUUUUAAUUUUUUUUUUUUUUAUUUUGCAAUGUCUACUUAUUGAGAAACAAAUCCAAGUAUAUAAAGGUAUUAAGUAAUCACCUAUUAAGAUUAUAUACAAAGAAAAUUAAAAAUAUGGAUAGAUAUUGCAAAGUCUAGCUGAUAUGUGAAGUUCUGUGGCGUUCCUUAUUCUUGUGGACUUCCUGUAUCACACUGUAUUGCCUUCAAUAAUUUUGGUGAUAUAUAUGACAGCAGUUACUUUACAGGAUUGGUAAGAGCUAAAUUCAAAGUGUUAAUGGCACUGUUGGUUCAUGAGAAAAAGAAGAAUAUGUCUCUUUUGAUAGUAAGUGUUUCAAUCAAUAUUUUCAAUAUUUUCUACUUCAAUGAAAUAUGUUUUCUCUUUUAUGAAGGGUACCACACAAAAUUUUUUUCAGACAAUUUUUUAAAUUUGAAAUUUAUAGGAAGAAGAAGCAAUCCAACAACAAAGAUGUAAUGAAAAAUAAAUUAUGAGAAAUUAUGUUUUGGUAAAGAAAGGUGUCUUAGGUACUAAAAUAAUAAAUAAAAAUAUAAAAAAGCAGAAGGACAUUGUACUCAUAUGGAAACUACUGCAUUGUACAAUGAUGAUCUUGUUGGUAUGACAAAAAGCCGUUAAUACCAUUGAAAUUAUGACUUUAUUUAUUUUUUUUAAACACCAUCGCAUUUUGGAAUUAAAUUCAAAUGUGGGCAAAAUGUGACUUGUAUGUCUGCUUCCAGCAGGAAAAAAAAACGCUUUGCUGGUCACUGACAUUGUCAUUGACUCAGUCUUGCCCUCUGAAAUACUAUGAUCUAACUAUUGUCUGUUAAAAGACUUAAGAGACAGAUCUAUCAGCUGUCAAAACCCCAAAAUCCAAAACACAAAACUCCCCACCAAAGGCAGUCCGCAAACACUACCAAAACCCAAAUUAAAGCCAUAUUCUUACUGACAAAGAGAGACAUUCUUGCUAUCAAAAUGGCAACAAUUAAGGAUUUUAGUCAGGUAAUGUCAGAAUUAUAAGAUUUAAUGAUACACCACUAUCUAAAAUAGCCAUGCCAACAACAAAGAAAUGAAAUAUUAUAAAAUAAUAAAUGGCAAGACCUAAAUAAAUCACGAUUUGAAAGGAUGUUGUAAAUUUCUAGUUACGUUUUAUUGUGAUGGGACCCACUUACACAUCAAAAAUAUUUUUUAAUGUCUUUAUUAA